This is a small nuclear RNA of Erinaceus europaeus (western European hedgehog), 164 nucleotides long. Its record names the gene U1. It matches the Rfam family "U1 spliceosomal RNA". From Rfam's summary of the family: U1 is a small nuclear RNA (snRNA) component of the spliceosome (involved in pre-mRNA splicing). NCBI's taxonomy places the organism in Eukaryota, Metazoa, Chordata, Mammalia, Eulipotyphla, Erinaceidae. The record is from Ensembl.
AUACUGACCUGGCAGGGGAGAUAGCGUGAUCACAAAGGUGGUUUUCCCAGUGUGAGGCUUAUCCACUGCACUCCAGAUGUGCUGACCCCUGUGAUUUCCCCAAAUGUGAGAAAUGUGAAUUCAUAAUUUGUGGUAGUGGGGGACUGCAUUCAUGCCCUCCCCUG